UACGAAUGGAGCGAGCGUUGUUCGGAAUCACUGGGCGUAAAGCGUGCGCAGGCGGUCUUGAAAGUCAGGAGUGAAAUCCCAGGGCUUAACCCUGGAAUUGCUCUUGAAACUCCAAGACUGGAGUACUGGAGAGGUUGGCGGAAUUCCGAGUGUAGCAGUGAAAUGCGUAGAUAUUCGGAGGAACACCGAUGGCGUAGGCAGCCAACUGGACAGUUACUGACGCUCAUGCACGAAAGCGUGGGGAGCAAACAGG
RNAcentral lists this unclassified non-coding RNA (253 nucleotides) under uncultured Alphaproteobacteria bacterium. RNAcentral describes it as "contains 16S-23S intergenic spacer region". It matches the Rfam family "Bacterial small subunit ribosomal RNA", at positions 524 to 776 of the family's 1533-position model. The record is from RNAcentral. Lineage: Bacteria; Pseudomonadati; Pseudomonadota; Alphaproteobacteria.